AGACAACAAAAUGUUUAAUAUUAAUUUUGUCACCUUAGGUCGAUCGGUAUCUCACGUUCUUAAUUAAUUUAAGAAUUUCAUUCCUAAGUUUUUUCUAGGUCACACCCAUUUCUUUUCCUGGGCCAUUAGCUCAGGUGGUUAGAGCGCACCCCUGAUAAGGGUGAGGUCCCUGGUUCAAGUCCAGGAUGGCCCAUAUCUCUAUGUUGGGGGUAUAGCUCAGUUGGUAGAGCGCCUGCUUUGCAAGCAGGAUGUCAGCGGUUCGAGUCCGCUUACCUCCACUGAUUACCACCUCUUCCAUAUUUUUAAGAAGGGAAACGUUAUGAGUCUGAUCAAAUUCUGAACGAAUCUAGCUUCUUAAUAAAUCAUUAAGAUGCUGGACUCAUUGAAUUUAUUCAUUGUUUUCAGAGAACCUUGACAACUGCAUAGAUUAUUUUUUAAAGACAAUAAGCAUCUUUUAAUGAUGCAGAUUUAUUAUUUGUGCGAAUGCAUUAAUAACAAUUCUAUUAAGCUGAUGCUUCAAUUUUGAAGUUAUU
This 533-nucleotide transfer RNA is filed under the name uncultured cyanobacterium. RNAcentral describes it as "partial 16S-23S intergenic spacer". The stretch from base 206 to 278 matches the Rfam family "tRNA". Lineage: Bacteria; Bacillati; Cyanobacteriota. The record is from RNAcentral.